This 1263-nucleotide ribosomal RNA is filed under the name Hurlizoanthus parrishi. RNAcentral describes it as "partial 16S large subunit ribosomal RNA". It matches the Rfam family "Bacterial large subunit ribosomal RNA", at positions 1157 to 2486 of the family's 2925-position model. Lineage: Eukaryota; Metazoa; Cnidaria; Anthozoa; Zoantharia; Parazoanthidae. The record is from RNAcentral.
AUUUAUCUCUAAAAUUAUGGUGGCUAAAGUUGAACUGAAACUCUGGGGGCGAAAUAACAAGGUGGCCCGCGCCCUUCGUUAUGUUUGUCCGGUAGCAGAACGUACUGUUAAUUGUUCAGUGAGAGCCCCACACGGCAUCAGAAGUGAUAAUGUGGACAUGAGUAAAAAAUCAUAGGAUCACUCCCCCCCUGGUUUCCCAUAUUAGGUAUGGGGUUAAACAGCCCCUAAAAUUGCAGCCCCAAAGGUUGCGUUAAUGGGGGGCCAUGAGUAAUAGACGCACAAAGUGCCAGGAAAGAAUUAUUCAAGAGCCAAAGGGGCCUUGCAGGCCUUACCUGCAAGGACCCGAUGGGGACCAUCUCUCGGCGCCGCACUGUACUAAACUAACUAAAGUGGGGGAUAGUGAGGGGAUAAAUUUCCUUAAGGAACUCGGCAAAAUCCCAAUGGCCCACCAGGGCAUUUAACUUUUGUAGCAAGGUAUCAAGGUAUCAAGGUACCUUAUACGAAGGUGGGGUCCGGUAGGAUCCUACCUCCACCCUAACGGGUGGCGGUUACUUGUAUUGGAACACGGGCCUCGACUGUUUACCAAAAACAUAGCCCUCGGCCAAUAUGAAAAUAGAAGUAUGGAGGGUGAGGCCUGCCCAAUGGUUGUAUCUAAAAGCGGCUGAUGAAAGUCGAUCUCGUAAGGACAAUUGAAUGGCCGCGGUAACACUGACCGUGAUAAUGUAGCGUAAUCAAUAGCCAAUUAAUUGUUGGCCAGUAUGAAUGGCGCCACGAAGGCCCCACUGUCUUAAGGAAAUUCCCAGUGAAAUUGAAUUCGUAGUGAAGAUGCUACGUCCAAUUUGUUAGACGAAAAGACCCCGUUGAGCUUUACUGGGGCACUUACACGGCCCCGGCCUGCGAGACUAGGGACCAUACCUAGGGACCGGCUGAAUUUAAAUGGGCGGCUUAGACUAUGUGGCAGCCCCCGUCGGGGCAGAUGAAACCCCACUCCCCCAUGUCAAAGGGGCUAACCCCCCCUUGGGGGGGACAGUGUAAGUAGGACAGUUUGGUUGGGGCGACCGCCUUUUAGAGAGUAACGAAGGUGCGCUUAAGGUGCGCAAUUAAUGACUGAAGCCUGACUGCGAGGGGGACACCCCGAGCAGACACCCCCAAGCCCGCCCUCCCAGAAGGCGGCGGUGGGGGUGGGCCAUAGUGACCCGUUAAUUUAGAGUGGAAUAGUUAACGAUCAACGAAUAAAAGUUACCACGGGGAUAACAGCGUAAU